UUCUCUCAUUCACAUCACAAACUCUUUUCAGACAUCAUGAUGAUGGUGCAAAGACAUCUCCGACAUGUACUAGAAUUCUAGUCUAGUUGUUACAUGUAGUUUUUUUUGGUUUGGGGAAAAAUUGUCAAUGAAUGUCACUCUCUGCAGCUCAAAUAUAAAUUAAAAUGAUGGUUUGCUAACAAACGACACUUACAGAUUCUUCAGGCAACCUAGAAAAGAGCUGAAAUUACCAAAAAAGUGCUGUGCUCAUUAUCUGUUAAUAAAAUAGUUUAUAUCAUUAGUAUUUUGUGUCUUUAGAUUUGCUAGAAAUAUUUAGAUUUUUCCAUUCAGAUUGGCAAUUUUAUCACCGAACCAAAAGAUACUGAACCUAAAGGCAUAGGAAUACGUUCACAACCUGAUUGGUUGGAUUUUAUGACGUAUUACCUAUUUUGAGACACAACUUACCGAACAUCCAAAACAAUGCUGUGUGCUGAGGUAAAUGCACUUGUUGUGUGUGCGCGUAUCCUGCAUAUGAUGGUAUUUUGGCCAGCUGGGAGUCAAAGGAGUCAAAACAGCGGCGGCAAUCCCUCCGUCACACACACAAACGAUCUGCUGUGUGGAGACGCGCGUCUGAUGCCUGUGAUGGGCAAACUCGCGACUAUGACGAGAAAAACUGAUAUGCGCGAGGAUUCUGUACUGGGGUCUCAUCUUCCUGUUUUUGGUUCGUUUACAUGUCUUUGGUCCGUGUUGCGUUCAUAUAUCAUUCGAACUGCACCAGAGUUCGCUAGGAAGCAGACCGAGACCCAUCUUUUCAGCGGUCUUGGCCCUCUUGUUUGGUGUGCACCAGGGUUCGGAUGGCAGCGUUCACACAUGUUCAAAUGAACCGCACUAACAGAGCAAUCACACCAGGGUUCGUUUUAAUCGAACCAAACAUGACAAGUGUGAACACGCCCUUAAAAUAUGUCUGUGCCAUUGUUUCGUCUCAAGAUGCACAGCAGUGAUGUUUUUUUUCUAAGGCAUGUUUAUAAAAACUACUUAAAUGCCCUAAUUGAACCAAGGCCUAAUCAUGGCUUAAUCUAAGCCCUGUCUGUGAAACCAGCCAUAAAUGUUUAAGUUUGCAAAGUAAAAAAAAAAAAAAAAAAAGAGUAU
Molecule: long non-coding RNA, 1128 nt
Organism: Ctenopharyngodon idella (grass carp)
Lineage: Eukaryota; Metazoa; Chordata; Actinopteri; Cypriniformes; Xenocyprididae
Exons: 2
Source: RefSeq, a predicted model, not a curated record